UUGAAGAGAAACAUUACCAAAUAUGUCUUUUCUCCUGCCCAUAUCUUCUGUUUCCACAGGAAAAGGACGCAGGCACAGGCAGCCCAAUGGAAACACAGGAACAUCCACCGUCACUGGGGGAGGAAGGCAAGUCCUGCCUGCAGCCCUGCUCAGAGAGGAAGCAGCUGAAAGUCAACGUCUUAAACAUCAGUAAAGGGGAUGCUGACAACUUGACUUUUCUGCCAGAUUCUGCAGCUCUCUGCUUCCUGAAAAACAAUAAAGACUUGGAUUACUCAACAGGAAACCGUAUUUUUUUCAGAAGAAUUUAUUAUUUCAACCAUUCUCUUACACUUAUUCUUCUGGAAAACUCAACAGAGGAGCAGUUUUCUCCCAAGAAGGCUGCAAGAGUUCGUUCAUCUGUUCCUGAUGAAGAAUCUGUUCCUGAUGAAGAGAUUCUCUUCUGCAGUUCCACAGCACUUAUUUUUGUGUUCAGACUGAGCUUCCUCAAGAUGAGAACAAAUAAAUAGAAUGGCUCAGUCCUUCCUACAGUGUCUCUGAAGCAAAGCUGGCUCGAGGUACUGCUCUGCCUCUUCUCUCUCCAAGGAUCUGGGAUAUGGGAAGGAAGGAAGGAAGGAGGGCUGAGCCUUCAGCGCACAUCACCCUGCUCAAGGAGAAAAGAUACCGCAUUUAACGCUCAAGUGUUCGGAUGCCAAAUGUUCUGCAAGGGACUCACACAACUGCUGGACAGCAAAAUAAAGAAAGCCUUACUUGGUCUGUCA
RNAcentral lists this long non-coding RNA (758 nucleotides) under Parus major (Great Tit). Its description in RNAcentral is "lncRNA (ENSPMJG00000009897.1)". Lineage: Eukaryota; Metazoa; Chordata; Aves; Passeriformes; Paridae. The record is from RNAcentral.